RNAcentral lists this ribosomal RNA (305 nucleotides) under uncultured bacterium. Its description in RNAcentral is "bacterial SSU rRNA". It matches the Rfam family "Bacterial small subunit ribosomal RNA", at positions 334 to 641 of the family's 1533-position model. The record is from RNAcentral.
GUGUCCUACGGGAGGCAGCAGUGGGGAAUAUUGCGCAAUGGGGGAAACCCUGAUGCAGCGACGCCGCGUGAGUGAAGAAGUAUUUCGGUAUGUAAAGCUCUAUCAGCAGGGAAGAAAAAAAGUCUUUGGCUUUGGACGGUACCUGACUAAGAAGCCCCGGCUAACUACGUGCCAGCAGCCGCGGUAAUACGUAGGGGGCAAGCGUUAUCCGGAUUUACUGGGUGUAAAGGGAGCGUAGACGGCAGCGCAAGUCUGGAGUGAAAUGCCGGGGCUCAACCCCGGAACUGCUUUGGAAACUGUGCAGC